RNAcentral lists this RNase P RNA (307 nucleotides) under Betaproteobacteria bacterium. RNAcentral describes it as "RNase P RNA component class A". It matches the Rfam family "Bacterial RNase P class A". Rfam says of the family: Ribonuclease P (RNase P) is a ubiquitous endoribonuclease, found in archaea, bacteria and eukarya as well as chloroplasts and mitochondria. Its best characterised activity is the generation of mature 5'-ends of tRNAs by cleaving the 5'-leader elements of precursor-tRNAs. Lineage: Bacteria; Pseudomonadati; Pseudomonadota; Betaproteobacteria. The record is from RNAcentral. RNAcentral also lists the same sequence under 1 other name.
AGAGUUGGUUAGGCAAUCGCCGCUUCUUGAUUGAAGGGGAGGAAAGUCCGGACUCCAAAGGAUAGGGUGAUGGUUAACGACCAUCCAUGGUGACAUGAGGAAUAGGGCCACAGAGACGAGCGUAUUUAGUUACGGUGAAACGCGGUAACCUCCACUCGGAGCAAUCUCAAAUAGGCAGGCGUUGAGGCGAUCCGCUGAGUCUGCGGGUAGAGAGCUCGAGUCCAUUGGUAACAAUGGGCCUAGAUGAAUGAUUGCCCCCGUGCGCAAGCACGGGCGACAGAAUCCGGCUUAUCGACCAACUCUGCAC